GAUGAAGAACGCAGCGAAAUGCGAUACGUAAUGUGAAUUGCAGAAUUCAGUGAAUCAUCGAAUCUUUGAACGCAUAUUGCGCUCUCUGGUAUUCCGGAGAGCAUGCUUGUUUGAGUAUCAGUAAACACCUCAACUCCCCUUUCUUUUUUUGAAAUGGGAGCUGGACUUGAGUGAUCCCAACGCUUUUCUCACCGAAAAGUGGCGGGUUACUUGAAAUGCAGGUGCAGCUGGACUUUUCUCUGAGCUAUAAGCAUAUCUAUUUAGUCUGCCUAAAAAACAGAUUAUUACCUUUGCUGCAGCUAACAUAAAGGAGAUUAGUUCUUGUGCUGACUGAUGCAGGAUUCACAAAGACAGGCUUCGGCCGACUUUGUAAACUCGAUCUCAAAUCAAGUAAGACUACCCGCUGAACUUAAGCAUAUCAAUAAGCGGAGGA
RNAcentral lists this unclassified non-coding RNA (433 nucleotides) under soil metagenome. Its description in RNAcentral is "partial contains 5.8S ribosomal RNA, internal transcribed spacer 2, and large subunit ribosomal RNA". The stretch from base 1 to 120 matches the Rfam family "5.8S ribosomal RNA", at positions 35 to 154 of the family's 154-position model. The record is from RNAcentral.